This 728-nucleotide ribosomal RNA is filed under the name Actinomycetes bacterium. Its description in RNAcentral is "bacterial SSU rRNA". It matches the Rfam family "Bacterial small subunit ribosomal RNA", at positions 113 to 851 of the family's 1533-position model. The record is from RNAcentral. Lineage: Bacteria; Bacillati; Actinomycetota; Actinomycetes.
ACACGUGGGUGAUCUGCCCUGCACUUUGGGAUAAGCCUGGGAAACUGGGUCUAAUACCGAAUACACCCUGCUGGUCGCAUGGCCUGGUGGGGGAAAGCUUUUGCGGUGUGGGAUGGGCCCGCGGCCUAUCAGCUUGUUGGUGGGGUGAUGGCCUACCAAGGCGACGACGGGUAGCCGGCCUGAGAGGGUGACCGGCCACACUGGGACUGAGAUACGGCCCAGACUCCUACGGGAGGCAGCAGUGGGGAAUAUUGCACAAUGGGCGCAAGCCUGAUGCAGCGACGCCGCGUGAGGGAUGACGGCCUUCGGGUUGUAAACCUCUUUCAAUAGGGACGAAGCGCAAGUGACGGUACCUAUAGAAGAAGGACCGGCCAACUACGUGCCAGCAGCCGCGGUAAUACGUAGGGUCCGAGCGUUGUCCGGAAUUACUGGGCGUAAAGAGCUCGUAGGUGGUUUGUCGCGUUGUUCGUGAAAACCCACAGCUUAACUGUGGGCGUGCGGGCGAUACGGGCAGACUUGAGUACUGCAGGGGAGACUGGAAUUCCUGGUGUAGCGGUGGAAUGCGCAGAUAUCAGGAGGAACACCGGUGGCGAAGGCGGGUCUCUGGGCAGUAACUGACGCUGAGGAGCGAAAGCGUGGGGAGCGAACAGGAUUAGAUACCCUGGUAGUCCACGCCGUAAACGGUGGGUACUAGGUGUGGGUUUCCUUCCUUGGGAUCCGUGCCGUAG